UACGGGGGGGGCAAGCGUUGUUCGGAAUUACUGGGCGUAAAGGGCUCGUAGGCGGCCAACUAAGUCAGACGUGAAAUCCCGGGGCUCAACCUCGGAACUGCCUUUGAUACUGCGGGUCUUGAGUCCGAUAGAGGUGGGUGGAAUUCCUAGUGUAGAGGUGAAAUUCGUAGAUAUUAGGAAGAACACCGGUGGCGAAGGCGGCCCACUGGAUCGGUACUGACGCUGAGGUGCGAAAGCGUGGGGAGCAAACAGG
This 253-nucleotide ribosomal RNA is filed under the name uncultured bacterium. RNAcentral's name for it is "partial 16S ribosomal RNA". It matches the Rfam family "Bacterial small subunit ribosomal RNA", at positions 524 to 776 of the family's 1533-position model. The record is from RNAcentral.